RNAcentral lists this ribosomal RNA (305 nucleotides) under uncultured bacterium. RNAcentral's name for it is "bacterial SSU rRNA". It matches the Rfam family "Bacterial small subunit ribosomal RNA", at positions 338 to 657 of the family's 1533-position model. The record is from RNAcentral.
CCUCCUUUUUUCAGCAUCCGGGAAUAUUGCCCCAUGGGGCAAACCCUGCUGCCUCUCCUCCUCUUUCUUUCCUAAUUAUUUCGGUAUGUAAAGCUCUAUCAGCAGGGAAGAAAGAAAUGACGGUACCUGACUAAGAAGCCCCGGCUAACUACGUGCCAGCAGCCGCGGUAAUACGUAGGGGGCAAGCGUUAUCCGGAUUUACUGGGUGUAAAGGGAGCGUAGACGGCUAUGCAGGUCUGGAGUGAAAGGCGGGGGCCCAACCCCCGGACUGCUCUGGAAACUGUAGAGCUAGAGUGCAGGAGAGG